RNAcentral lists this long non-coding RNA (1043 nucleotides) under Homo sapiens (human). RNAcentral's name for it is "non-protein coding lnc-ATP5ME-1:20". The record is from RNAcentral. Lineage: Eukaryota; Metazoa; Chordata; Mammalia; Primates; Hominidae.
ACGGGGCCAAGACUCGGCCUCCUGGCUGGAGGCUCCACUGUCUGGGUGGGGCUGGUGGUGCCAGGGUCAAAUCCUGGGGCCUUCAUGCUCAAUUGUUGCUGACGAGGCCGCCUGGACAGCUUGCCUGGUCCCCUGUAUGUCCACUCUGGAUGUCCACAGUGACUCGGGCUCCUCAGCAGCCCACGUCCUCCUCACCAUCUCCCAGAACAGAGGCCCACGGAGUACCGCUCGCAGUUGAGGUAGGCCCGCACCGUGUAGAAGGCCUUGUGGAACUGCCUCUCGAUGUCCGUCAGCUCCUCAAACACCUUGUUGGCCGACCACAGCAGCACCUGGAGGGAGGGGCACACCUGUGGGCCUGUGGCCACUCCCACCCUCACGCCGGUCUGACCACAGCAGCAGGGGUUUAACUCAAGCCUGACACAGGUUUCAUCUGAGCUUGUGGGGCCCGGGAGCUGGCUGGCGGUGAGGCCUCGAGGCUGCGGUCGUGUCCCUGAUCACUCAGGAGUGGACGAGUGGAAAGUGGAAUCUGUCGCUUUGAGCUUGACAGGCAAACAUCCGACCAGCCCUUCCUCCGCCCGGCUGCUCCAGAACCACCUGCGGCGAGCAGGGCUUUGAGAACAUCGGGCCGUGGUUUCCGCACGUCAGGCCGCCUGUGGCCUCCGCCAAGCGUCUGAGAGUGAAGCAUUGCUGACGCACUCCACGAGGUCCUGGCCAGACCCCACUCAGGACAUCCCGCUGCACAGGCCCCUGGUUGCUGGGUCAGCGCUGCCACCAGGCUCAGACUCACCCCAGGGCCCUCCUUGGGCCACCUUUCUCUGCCUCCUUGGUCAAGGCCCAGACCCAGGCCCCACCAGGCCCUGCCUCCUCACACUCGCGGCGGCCGCUGGGUCUUCUACCGCAUGGUGCCAGCUCCCUCUCCUCCGCUGCGGUGUCCUAGCCCAGCUCUCUCCCUGCCAGGCCCUCUGAAGUUCCACCCCCUGGCACUCAGCUCAUGGUGGGAACAGGACCAGGCUCUCCUGUUGCCAAGGGCAGUGAGAUGUUCG